Molecule: non-coding RNA, 5184 nt
Organism: Vicugna pacos (alpaca)
Lineage: Eukaryota; Metazoa; Chordata; Mammalia; Artiodactyla; Camelidae
Source: RefSeq, a predicted model, not a curated record
GAAGUUGGGUCGAUUUCCGCCGAUGAUGCAUCAUCACCAGGCACCCUCAGAUGGCCAGACUCCUGGGGCUCGUUUCCAGAGGUCUCACCUUGCAGAGGCCUUUGCAAAAGCCAAAGGAUCAGGUGGAGGCACUGGAGGAGGAGGUAGUGGAAGAGGCCUGAUGGGGCAGAUUAUUCCAAUCUAUGGUUUUGGGAUUUUUUUAUACAUACUGUAUAUUCUAUUUAAGCUCUCAAAGGGGAAAAGUACUGCAGAGGAUCGGAAAUGCUCUCCUGCCACACCUGGAAACACCCACAGGAAAAUUACCAAUUUUGAGCUUGUUCAACUGCAAGAAAAACUGAAGGAGACAGAGGAAGCCAUGGAAAAAUUAAUCAACAGAGUGGGGCCUAACGGUGAGAGCAGAGCACAGACAGUGACUUCUGACCAAGAAAAACGGUUGCUGCAUCAGCUCCGAGAAAUCACCAGGGUCAUGAAAGAAGGAAAACUCAUUGACAGACCCACUCCAGAGAAAGAAGCUGAGGAGGCCCCUUACAUGGAGGACUGGGAAGGUUACCCUGAAGAGACUUAUCCAAUUUAUGACCUUUCAGAUUGCAUCAAGCAUAGGCAAGAAACCAUCCUAGUGGAUUACCCCAACCCACAAGAGCCCUCUGCUGAAGAAAUAGCUGAAAGAAUGGGGGUGCUGGAAGAGGAAGAAUCCGACCAUUUGGGUUGGGCAAUGCCUACUGACCCCAGAGCUCAGGAAGAGAAUUCUGUUACCUUCUGUGACCCAAAGCCAGAAACAUGCUCCUGCUGUUUUCCUGAAGAAGAGGAUCCCGCUGUCUUGGCAGAGAAUGCUGGAUUCAGUGCAGACAGUUACAGUGAGCAGGAGGAAACCACCAAAGAAGUGUGGCCCCAGGACUUCAGAGAUGGCACCCCUUGGGGCAGAGGUCAGACUCUUCACACUAGGAAUAACAGAUGGUUUACCUGUGAACGAACAUCAGAUUACACAUGAUGAGGACUUAAGAUUACAAGAGUGAAGAUUUCAGAGUCCAAGAUGCCUUAUUCUGUAGGCCUUGAGCAGGUUAGUGGUCCACUGGGUUCAAGAAGAAAACAUUUUGUUUGUGGGGCUGAUGGGGCCAGAGCUGGGCGAGCCUUUGCUGUCUGAGCUGAAGCCCCUUCUUCACGUGAGAGCCUUUUUUAGGAGCAUCGAGGCCUCCUCAGAUCUGUGCUUUUCUCCAGAGUAGUAGAAGACUCCCACUGACCCAAGAAUGAGCCCAGAAGUUUGUUGGGACAGUUUUGCCUGGAUCUCAAGCUUCCUUUAUCCCUGUUCUGCUUAAUGGAACUGCCAAACCCAGAAGCAGUUUAUACCUCUGGUCUUCAGUGGCCAGAGGACGCUUUAUGUAGAGACUUUAGUCCUUGCCCUGCAGAGCCAAGGUUUGAGGCUGCUAAGGCUUCAGGAAAGCCUGCCCAAGGGUGGCAGUCCUGUCAUGAGAUGCUUAGAAGGCCAGGGAGCUGGUGAUGGGAGAGAACUCGUGCCCUUAUGGGCAGUCCUUGCUUAGAAGCUGUUUCUGAAUGUUGUGCCCUCUGGCAAAUUUAUUCUUCUAACAAAUCAAAUUCAAACAGAAACGAGGACUGAGCUUGUAGACCAAGUGUUAGCCCAACAGGGAAGUUGCAGGGACCCAACAGAGCAGUGCCCAGGAAGAGACCAUUUGUUCUCUGUGUGGCUAUCUGGGUCUUUUGAGCUGGGCAGAGUAGGAGGUGGGUUAAGACUGGGAGAAUUUUGACCAAACCAAAAGCCUAAUCUCUGAGCUGCCAUCUGUCAUGUGUCUCCUUGAGGUAAGAUGUAUUCCGUCUAGUAAGGGUAAAGUGAAUUCAGUUUACAGGAAAGACGUGAGAGUUGAAAGAGGACACCUUCCCGAGGACAUUCCCAGUCAUGAAACGUGGAAGACUUGAAAAUUAAGAAAUCAUUUGAAGGUAGACUUGGUGGACACUGGGCUUUUAGAGUUCCAUUGUGCCUGGCAUGAGUUAAGAGGCCGGGAAAAUAGCUGAAAUCACACAUUUAAGUGUGGUCACUGCUGUCACAAGGUACAGGAUCGUAUUAAGAUGAUGCGUCAGCCACUGCUAGGCAUUUGUUAGUUAACAACUACAGAAAAGUCAUUUAAGACUGAGUCUACAGAAAGUAUACUGCAUCUGUCUCUGUGUGGAACCUUGGAUUCACUUGUCAAGAAUGCAGUGUAAAAUGUACUAAAACCAGUCUAGAUGUAAUAUAAUGCUGAAGGUAAAAAAUGAUGUAGGUGCUCUUUACUGUUUCGAUAAAUUAUUUUCUGUGCUCUUUCUCUUCAUUCACAGUGAGGAGAGUUCUGGGACCCUGGUUCAAGUUUCUUUUUUGCCUUAGGAUAUGAUUCCCUUAUUAGAGAUGUGUAUUUGUUUCCUUCUAGCUGAUUCAUCCAUUUAUUCAUUUAGCAGACACUGCUCAGAGCAGUGGGAACAAAAGGCUCAAUUCCUACCUUUAAAGAAACUCAGUUUAACAUGGGAGCCUUAUCCAAUUUAUUUUUUUAAAUGGUAUGUGAACUAUAAAAGAGCUCAAGGUCAUGAAUUCUGCAGGCAGAGAAAUGCCAGUCACGAUUCCAUCUCUGUCCUGUCCUCACUAUAGAAUCUUGCCAGAUCCCUAGCCCCACGAGCCUCAGCUUUCUCGUCUCUAAAGCUGGGGAGUCAAAGUGCAGGUCUCACGGGGUGGUUAUGAGUGCCUAUAAAACAGCACUGGCCCUGUCUGCUCGCAGUAACCACUCAGUGGGCAGUAGCUUCCUGGCUUUUAUCGGACAAGGUUUUGUGCUAUAAUUGAGAUACGAACCCCAAUCUAUAGGAGCAAAGAGAAUUUUUGCUAACGUACUCUCAAGAAACUUCACAGAGAAGGUGGGUCUUGAGGGAUGCCAGGAACUUUUCCAGGUGGGCAAGGGAGAGAAAGGACAUUCUUGGCAGAAAGAGUGGUGUUAGAGCAGCCAGUUGUGAAAGUAAAUGGAUGUUCAGGUAUUUUAACGAGGCUGGUGUGUUAAGUGUCACAUAAACAACUCUUUAUUUGGAAUGUUAAUGAGCGGAAGUGGCUUAUGGAAAUAGUUCCUGCCAGAAGUACUAGACCUCAGGAUGGCUCCUGCUGCCCUUGUUCUUGGUUGGUUUAUAUAGCAGGACUAUGUCUAUGUAUUUAUAUUUCAAACAUUUUGAUGUGCUUUUUGGUCAUUUCAGAUUAGGCAGCCCUUUGUUGGAUUUUCCAUUUAUUCUUCAGGGAUGACAGCUAUAUUUGUAUAUACAACCCAGGAAGACCAAAAUCAUGGGACUCAUUUUUGUUGUGAUGCCGGCUGUCUUUCUCCUGGUCUUCAUUUCUCAGAACCGGUCUGGGCUGUGAAUGUGACCAGCCCCCUGACACUAGGUCUGCAGUGACCUUUGGGCACUGUGGCAGAGCACAGUCAUAUCUCUGGAGGCAGACAGUUGGCCUCAGAAACAGCUGCAUCGCUGGGAACCAUGGUGGGUGGUUUGGCCACGAGAUCCCCAUUCCUGGUCGGCAGGAGCACAUGGAGAGCAUUUCCCUCCAGGACUAGUGCAGAGUGAACGCUAGGAGCUGGGCCCAGAGUGGGGCGCUGAGGAGCGGGGCCAGUGCUUGGCCUCUGCAAGAGAUGGCCUCUGAGAGUGAUGGCCGCUGUCUGUACCUUCUACGGGUGAUCCGACAACUUAUGGUCCAACCUGGGACACUGGGAAAAGGGAGCUUUAAUAAAAAUCAUGCCCCAAUAAUAGGUUAAAGCAGGACUCUCCGCAGGACUCUGUCAUGGCUAUAUAAGAGAUCUGUCGUUAGCCUGACCACUAAACCACCACCACCUCCUUUCUUUUUAGUAAUGCCCUGCAUGUGCUAUUUUCCAGAGGCAGAGCCCAGGAGCGAGGCCGUGGUUCAGGUAGGACAUAAAAACUCCAAAUCUGGGGUAGUAAAUAAACCAGCCCUUCUUAUUACCACACUCUUAAAUUCCCUCAACCCAGACUAUAUGCUAAAGGAAAAUCUAACACUUCAGCUACCCAGUGAGAACAACAUGAAGUAUCAGUGAUUUUGCCUUGACGAUUUUCACACAAAUCCUUCUAAAAUGUACUUCAUCUUUGCUAUUUUUCCUUUUCCAUCUUCUUAGAUUUAAGCACUGAUUUCCUCAUUUAUGAACUGGGAAUAAUAUCCCCCUUGCAAGGCCAGUAGGAUUCAGUGAGAUGACAGGAUCACACUGUCAAGUCCUGUGCUGCCUGGAACCCUCCACGGCUACUCUGCUGGGAAUGGCCCAGAGCAGAGUCCUGCAGUCUUGGGGCGGCUUAACUUUGACCGCCUCCCUCAGGAUCAAACCCAUAGCUUUCAUGUCUGCUUCCAGCCACAACUGCAACCUCCCUUGCUCAGGCUUCAUAUCUGCCAUAGGCUGAAAAGAAAAUUGCCAAGCCUGCAGCAGGGUUGUCCUGUUGAAACAGGUUAGGCUGCUCUGCCUAGAGCUUGAGGAGUCGAGUGGCUGGGUUGUCAUGUCGUUCCUACCACUUGGGCCCUCUUUUUGUUCCUAAGGGCCAGGCCCACAGGGGUUUACUUAGGACCCAGCAGCCCAUCCUUCUCGCUGGCUCAGCUGGCCUGCAGAGGAUGCUCUAACUGAAGUACCUUCUGUCCUUACCAUUCUUCCAGCCCUUCCCGACCUCUGCGUGACUUGAAGAGCACGGCCAGAGGGAAGAUGUGUAAUUACUUCUAAACAAGCUAUGAUCCCUUGUUAUCACCACCUUCCUGCCCACCCCUGAGGCUCUUAGGACAGAAGGAAUGAAUGGUGUAGCAAAAAACUUUUAGCAGGUCUCCCCUCCCAAAGUCAGGAAAGGAAGAGCCAAACUGGGACUACGGAAAAGGAGGAAGGACGGCCCUACAGUGUUUCACUGGGAAGUGGACCAGCUCCAGUACAAGUGCUGAUGCCCUCAAGAUGGCCCCAAGUCGAGAGUGUCUAGAAACUAGGCCAUGUGAACAAAACCUGGAUCGCUCACAGAGACGAAUGCCCCCGGCACAGGCAGACCCCUGCUAGAACCGGUACGCCCUGCUCCAAGCGCGCCACACAGGAGACCCAGGAUACCAGGAGGUGAGGGCGCACUAUUCCACUGAAGUCAAAACAACUCCUUCACCUCACUCAGAGCCCCGCUAACAUGUUUAAAGUAUGACUU